GACGAACGCUGGCGGCGUGCUUAACACAUGCAAGUCGAACGGAAAGGCCCUGCUUUUGUGGGGUGCUCGAGUGGCGAACGGGUGAGUAACACGUGAGUAACCUGCCCUUGACUUUGUGAUAACUUCAGGAAACUGGGGCUAAUACCGGAUAGGAGCUCCUGCUGCAUGGUGGGGGUUGGAAAGUUUCGGCGGUUGGGGAUGGACUCGCGGCUUAUCAGCUUGUUGGUGGGGUAGGGGCUUACCAAGGCUUUGACGGGUAGCCGGCCUGGGAGGGUGACCGGCCACAAUAGGACUGAGAGACGGCCCAGACGCGUACGGGAGGCAGCAGUGGGGAAUAUUGCACAAUGGGCGGAAGCCUGAUGCAGCAACGCCGCGUGCGGGAUGACGGCCUUCGGGGUGUAAACCGCUUUCGCCUGUGACGAAGCGUGAGUGACGGUAAUGGGUAAAGAAGCACCGGCUAACUACGUG
Molecule: ribosomal RNA, 468 nt
Filed under: uncultured bacterium
Lineage: Bacteria
Description: partial 16S ribosomal RNA
Rfam family: Bacterial small subunit ribosomal RNA
Source: RNAcentral